Molecule: ribosomal RNA, 478 nt
Filed under: uncultured bacterium
Lineage: Bacteria
Description: bacterial SSU rRNA
Rfam family: Bacterial small subunit ribosomal RNA
Source: RNAcentral
CUACGUGCCAGCAGCCGCGGUAAUACGGAAGGUCCAGGCGUUAUCCGGAUUUAUUGGGUUUAAAGGGAGCGUAGGCGGACGAUUAAGUCAGCUGUGAAAGUUUGCGGCUCAACCGUAAAAUUGCAGUUGAAACUGGUUGUCUUGAGUGCACGCAGGGAUGUUGGAAUUCAUGGUGUAGCGGUGAAAUGCUUAGAUAUCAUGAAGAACUCCGAUCGCGAAGGCAUAUGUCUGGAGUGCAACUGACGCUGAGGCUCGAAAGUGCGGGUAUCGAACAGGAUUAGAUACCCUGGUAGUCCGCACAGUAAACGAUGAAUACUCGCAGUGUGCGAUAUAAUGUAUGCUGCCAAGUGAAAACGUUAAGUAUUCCACCUGGGGAGUACGCCGGCAACGGUGAAACUCAAAGGAAUUGACGGGGGCCCGCACAAGCGGAGGAACAUGUGGUUUAAUUCGAUGAUACGCGAGGAACCUUACCCGGGCU